UGGUAUGUUCAUCAUCAAGGCUAGAUGACACUUUUAUUGUUGGCUCAGUCUUCUUGGAGUUGCUUUGAUAGUGGUUUCCUGGUUCUUGACAGACUUUAGAUUGUGAAUUUAUUUAUUAAUUCGAAAGCUCGUGAUCGAACAUGCGGAUAAAAAGAAGAGAUUGUUGAUGCAUCGGAGCUUACAUCAAUUUCAGGAUAUCUUCAACACAUGAGAUCCGCUCAACCCAGUCGAUGAAGAAUUG
This 241-nucleotide long non-coding RNA is filed under the name Brassica napus (rape). RNAcentral describes it as "long non-coding RNA (BNAP_LNC019397)". Lineage: Eukaryota; Viridiplantae; Streptophyta; Magnoliopsida; Brassicales; Brassicaceae. The record is from RNAcentral.